UCCAACGAGGAUAAUACGCCAAUCUCGUAUUAUCCUCGAUUUUCAUAAGCACCAACUAGUAUUAUCUUUGAUUUUAAUACUGGUAUUAACUUUAAUACGCCGAUUUCGGCGUAUUAAAGAUAAUCGGAGAUUUACUUAUGAUGGUUGCGUGCUUAUAAAAAGAUCACACACAUACUAAUGCGUGUAGAGAGAUGCCAAAUCAUAAUAACAAAAACAGCUGACAUCACCGCGAACGAUAUUUUGUUUUCUUUUGUGGCUCGUAGCUGGCUGGGCGAAAUCGUUCACGGCCAUCGGAAUUUUACCCUGGAGUCUUCGGUUGGAUAUCGCAGCUCGCAAGAAGGAACAAUGUUGCCGACUACCGGAAGAGAGCAUUUGCACAUGAAGAGAAUCAGUCUUAUUCACGGGCGUGAUUUGUUGAUAGAACCGAAACGUAGCCCAAUUUCCUUUAGGUGCACCCAGCUGCAAAAAGUAAGCUGAAGUUAAAAUUAUGCUUCUCAAUUGCACGGCAUCCAAGAGAGGCAACAACUGCAUUCGAUAACCCGGAGCUCGGAAGAUUUCAGAAAAGAUGGAUCAGAACGUUAUUAAAAUAUUGAAACAAGCUGGGCAGUCAACCUGGUCAACUUAAACGAGAACUUAGCUUAGGUUUAAUUAAAGACAACUAUAUUUAAAAUAAAAAUGUUUUUCAAGAAAA
Molecule: long non-coding RNA, 691 nt
Organism: Armigeres subalbatus
Lineage: Eukaryota; Metazoa; Arthropoda; Insecta; Diptera; Culicidae
Exons: 2
Source: RefSeq, a predicted model, not a curated record